CCUACGGGAGGCAGCAGUGAGGAAUAUUGGACAAUGGGCGCAAGCCUGAUCCAGCCAUGCCGCGUGCAGGAUGACGGUCCUAUGGAUUGUAAACUGCUUUUAUACGAGAAGAAACACCCCUACGUGUAGGGACUUGACGGUAUCGUAAGAAUAAGGAUCGGCUAACUCCGUGCCAGCAGCCGCGGUAAUACGGAGGAUCCAAGCGUUAUCCGGAAUCAUUGGGUUUAAAGGGUCCGUAGGCGGUUUAGUAAGUCAGUGGUGAAAUCUCCCCGCUCAACGGGGAAACGGCCAUUGAUACUGCUAGACUUGAAUUAUUAGGAAGUAACUAGAAUAUGUAGUGUAGCGGUGAAAUGCUUAGAGAUUACAUGGAAUACCAAUUGCGAAGGCAGGUUACUACUAAUGGAUUGACGCUGAUGGACGAAAGCGUGGGUAGCGAACAGGAUUAGAUACCCUGGUAGUCCACGCCGUAAACGAUGGAUACUAGCUGUUGGGUGCAAACUCAGUGGCUAAGCGAAAGUGAUAAGUAUCCCACCUGGGGAGUACGUUCGCAAGAAUGAAACUCAAAUGAAUUGACGG
Molecule: ribosomal RNA, 576 nt
Filed under: uncultured bacterium
Lineage: Bacteria
Description: bacterial SSU rRNA
Rfam family: Bacterial small subunit ribosomal RNA
Source: RNAcentral